UACGUAGGUGGCAAGCGUUGUUCGGAAUUAUUGGGCGUAAAGGGCGCGUAGGCGGCUUGUUAAGUCGGCUGUGAAAGCCCGGGGCUCAACCCCGGAGGGUCAGCCGAUACUGGCAGGCUAGAGUACGGAAGAGGUAGCUGGAAUUCCCGGUGUAGCGGUGAAAUGCGUAGAUAUCAGGAGGAACACCGGUGGCGAAGGCGGUUCUCUGGGCAUUACCUGACGCUGAGGAGCGAAAGUGUGGGGAGCGAACAGG
RNAcentral lists this ribosomal RNA (253 nucleotides) under uncultured prokaryote. RNAcentral's name for it is "partial 16S ribosomal RNA". It matches the Rfam family "Bacterial small subunit ribosomal RNA", at positions 524 to 776 of the family's 1533-position model. The record is from RNAcentral.